GAAAGAAAGGCAGAAGCAGGCGUCGCAGAGGAAGAAGAAACAUGAAGAGAAGAAAUAAAAAGAGUUAGCAGUUCGAUUUCGAUUCUGAUUUGGGUGUACGUUCGAUGAGAUUUGAGUGAGAUUGCAAAAGUUAGGAGUGUCUAUAAGAGGUAUGCAUGGCACAUCCAAGACAUGGGAUGUCUGGAUAUAGAAAGACAGGCUGAGUGAGUGAACUUACGUCUAUUGUAUUAUAUGUAAAUUUUUAACCGAAAAAACCUCUUGUUAAGGGGUAUGUUUUGUAAAUAUUUAUAAAUCAGAUUUUUUUAUAUAAUAAUGCGUUUUAUGGUUAAUUUUAACCUUAACACUGUAUUAUGGGGCCCGAAGUAGGAGGUGACGACCUCAUGCCAACUGGGGGUGUUACAUAUAUGUUCUUUUAAAUAUGAUUGUUA
Molecule: long non-coding RNA, 428 nt
Organism: Andrographis paniculata
Lineage: Eukaryota; Viridiplantae; Streptophyta; Magnoliopsida; Lamiales; Acanthaceae
Exons: 3
Source: RefSeq, a predicted model, not a curated record